RNAcentral lists this ribosomal RNA (1270 nucleotides) under metagenome. RNAcentral's name for it is "bacterial LSU rRNA". It matches the Rfam family "Bacterial large subunit ribosomal RNA", at positions 1638 to 2925 of the family's 2925-position model. The record is from RNAcentral.
AUGCCUGUACCAUAACCGACACAGGUGGGUAGGUAGAGUAUACUAAGGGGCGCGAGAUAACUCUCUCUAAGGAACUCGGCAAAAUGACUCCGUAACUUCGGGAGAAGGAGUGCCUUAUUUAUAAGGUUGCAAUAACAAGAUCCAAGCAACUGUUUAUCAAAAACACAGGUCUCCGCUAAGUCGUAAGACGAUGUAUGGGGGCUGACGCCUGCCCAGUGCCAGAAGGUUAAAGAAGUUGGUUAGUGUAUGCGAAGCUGAUGACUGAAGCCCUGGUGAACGGCGGCCGUAACAAUAACGGUCCUAAGGUAGCGAAAUUCCUUGUCGGGUAAGUUCCGACCCGCACGAAAGGCGUAAUGAUUUGGAUACUGUCUCGGAGAGAGGCUCGGUGAAAUAGACUUGUCUGUGAAGUUGCGGACUACCUGCACCAGGACAGAAAGACCCUAUGAAGCUUUACUGUAACUUGAAAUUGGAAUUGGACUUUGCUUGCGCAGUAUAGGUGGGAAGCGUUGAAGAUAUUCUUGCGGGAGUAUUGGAGCUAUCAGUGAGAUACCACUCUUGUAAUGUUAGAUUUCUAACUUUGAACCAUAAUCUGGUCAAAGAACAGUUUCAGGUGGGCAGUUUGACUGGGGCGGUCGCCUCCCAAAUGGUAACGGAGGCGUACAAAGGUUUCCUCUGAACGGAUAGAAAUCGUAUCUAGAGUGUAAAGGCAUAAGGAAGCUUGACUGUGAGACCUACAAGUCGAGCAGGGACGAAAGUCGGUCUUAGUGAUCUGACGGUACUGAGUGGAAAGGCCGUCACUCAACGGAUAAAAGUUACUCUAAGGAUAACAGGCUGAUCUCCCCCAAGAGUUCACAUCGACGGGGAGGUUUGGCACCUCGAUGUCGGCUCAUCGCAUCCUGGGGCGGUAGUACGUCCCAAGGGUUGGGCUGUUCGCCCAUGAAAGCGGUACGCGAGCUGGGUUCAGAACGUCGUGAGACAGUUCGGUCCAUAUCCGGUGUAGGCGUUAGAAUAUUGAGAGGAGCCUUCUUUAGUACGAGAGGACCGAGAAGGACACACCGCUGGUGUACCAGUUAUCGUGCCAACGGUAAACGCUGGGUAGCUAUGUGUGGAGUGGAUAACCGCUGAAAGCAUCUAAGUGGGAAGCCCACCUCAAGAUGAGUAUUCUCAUCACUAUAAGUGAGUAAGGUCACGGUAAGACUAACCGUUUGAUAGGCAUUAAGUGUAAAUGUAGUAAUGCAUGUGCUGAGAUGUCCUAACAGACCGAGGACUU